GCCAGGCGUGGUGGCUCACGCCUGUAAUCCAAGCACUUUGGAGGCCGAGGUGGAUGGAUCACCUGAGGUCAGGAGUUCAAGACCAGCCUGACCAACAUGGUGAAACCCUGUCUUUUUUUUUUUUUAAAGAUGGGGUUUCACCAUGAUGGCCAGGCUGGUCUUGAACUCCUGACCCCAGGUGAUCCACCCACCUCGGC
Molecule: small RNA, 197 nt
Filed under: Callithrix jacchus (white-tufted-ear marmoset)
Lineage: Eukaryota; Metazoa; Chordata; Mammalia; Primates; Cebidae
Description: Metazoan signal recognition particle RNA (ENSCJAG00000069514.2)
Rfam family: Metazoan signal recognition particle RNA
About the family: The signal recognition particle (SRP) is a universally conserved ribonucleoprotein. It is involved in the co-translational targeting of proteins to membranes.
Source: RNAcentral